AUUGAACGCUGGCGGCAGGCCUAACACAUGCAAGUCGAGCGGGGACUUCGGUCCUAGCGGCGAACGGGUGAGUAAUGCUUGGGAAUCUGCCCAGUAGUGUGGGAUAACGUCCCGAAAGGGACGCUAAUACCGCAUACGUCCUACGGGAGAAAGAGGGGGAUCUUCGGACCUCUCGCUAUUGGAUGAGCCCAAGUCGGAUUAGCUAGUUGGUAGGGUAAUGGCCUACCAAGGCGACGAUCCGUAGCUGGUCUGAGAGGAUGAUCAGCCACACUGGAACUGAGACACGGUCCAGACUCCUACGGGAGGCAGCAGUGGGGAAUAUUGGACAAUGGGCGAAAGCCUGAUCCAGCCAUGCCGCGUGUGUGAAGAAGGCCUUCGGGUUGUAAAGCACUUUAAGCGGGGAGGAAGGUUCGCGGCCUAAUACGUCGCGGAAUUGACGUUACCCGCAGAAUAAGCACCGGCUAACUCUGUG
RNAcentral lists this ribosomal RNA (472 nucleotides) under uncultured bacterium. RNAcentral describes it as "partial 16S ribosomal RNA". It matches the Rfam family "Bacterial small subunit ribosomal RNA", at positions 30 to 507 of the family's 1533-position model. The record is from RNAcentral.